RNAcentral lists this transfer RNA (76 nucleotides) under Baumannia cicadellinicola str. Hc (Homalodisca coagulata). RNAcentral's name for it is "tRNA-Lys". It matches the Rfam family "tRNA". From Rfam's summary of the family: Transfer RNA (tRNA) molecules are approximately 80 nucleotides in length. Their secondary structure includes four short double-helical elements and three loops (D, anti-codon, and T loops). Further hydrogen bonds mediate the characteristic L-shaped molecular structure. tRNAs have two regions of fundamental functional importance: the anti-codon, which is responsible for specific mRNA codon recognition, and the 3' end, to which the tRNAs corresponding amino acid is attached (by aminoacyl-tRNA synthetases). tRNAs cope with the degeneracy of the genetic code in two manners: having more than one tRNA (with a specific anti-codon) for a particular amino acid; and 'wobble' base-pairing, i.e. permitting non-standard base-pairing at the 3rd anti-codon position. Lineage: Bacteria; Pseudomonadati; Pseudomonadota; Gammaproteobacteria. The record is from RNAcentral.
AGGUCGUUAGCUCAGUUGGUAGAGCAGUUGACUUUUAAUCAAUUGGUCGCAGGUUCGAAUCCUGCACGACCUACUA